This 479-nucleotide ribosomal RNA is filed under the name uncultured bacterium. Its description in RNAcentral is "partial 16S ribosomal RNA". It matches the Rfam family "Bacterial small subunit ribosomal RNA", at positions 28 to 507 of the family's 1533-position model. The record is from RNAcentral.
GAUGAACGCUAGCGGGAGGCCUAACACAUGCAAGCCGAGCGGUAUUGUUUCUUCGGAAAUGAGAGAGCGGCGUACGGGUGCGUAACACGUGUUCAACCUGCCUUUAUCUGGGGGAUAGCCUUUCGAAAGGAAGAUUAAUACUCCAUAAUAUAUUGAACGGCAUCGUUUAAUAUUGAAAGCUCCGGCGGAUAGAGAUGGGCACGCGCAAGAUUAGCUAGUUGGUGAGGUAACGGCUCACCAAGGCGAUGAUCUUUAGGGGGCCUGAGAGGGUGAUCCCCCACACUGGUACUGAGACACGGACCAGACUCCUACGGGAGGCAGCAGUGAGGAAUAUUGGUCAAUGGGUGCAAGCCUGAACCAGCCAUCCCGCGUGAAGGACGACUGCCCUAUGGGUUGUAAACUUCUUUUGUAUAGGGAUAAACCUACCCUCGUGAGGGUAGCUGAAGGUACUAUACGAAUAAGCACCGGCUAACUCCGUG